UUGAUCAUGGCUCAGAUUGAACGCUGGCGGCAGGCCUAACACAUGCAAGUCGAACGGUAACAGGAAGCAGCUUGCUGCUUCGCUGACGAGUGGCGGACGGGUGAGUAAUGUCUGGGAAACUGCCUGAUGGAGGGGGAUAACUACUGGAAACGGUAGCUAAUACCGCAUAACGUCGCAAGACCAAAGAGGGGGACCUUCGGGCCUCUUGCCAUCGGAUGUGCCCAGAUGGGAUUAGCUAGUAGGUGGGGUAACGGCUCACCUAGGCGACGAUCCCUAGCUGGUCUGAGAGGAUGACCAGCCACACUGGAACUGAGACACGGUCCAGACUCCUACGGGAGGCAGCAGUGGGGAAUAUUGCACAAUGGGCGCAAGCCUGAUGCAGCCAUGCCGCGUGUAUGAAGAAGGCCUUCGGGUUGUAAAGUACUUUCAGCGGGGAGGAAGGCGAUAAGGUUAAUAACCUUGUCGAUUGACGUUACCCGCAGAAGAAGCACCGGCUAACUCCGUGCCAGCAGCCGCGGUAAUACGGAGGGUGCAAGCGUUAAUCGGAAUUACUGGGCGUAAAGCGCACGCAGGCGGUCUGUCAAGUCGGAUGUGAAAUCCCCGGGCUCAACCUGGGAACUGCAUUCGAAACUGGCAGGCUAGAGUCUUGUAGAGGGGGGUAGAAUUCCAGGUGUAGCGGUGAAAUGCGUAGAGAUCUGGAGGAAUACCGGUGGCGAAGGCGGCCCCCUGGACAAAGACUGACGCUCAGGUGCGAAAGCGUGGGGAGCAAACAGGAUUAGAUACCCUGGUAGUCCACGCCGUAAACGAUGUCGACUUGGAGGUUGUGCCCUUGAGGCGUGGCUUCCGGAGCUAACGCGUUAAGUCGACCGCCUGGGGAGUACGGCCGCAAGGUUAAAACUCAAAUGAAUUGACGGGGGCCCGCACAAGCGGUGGAGCAUGUGGUUUAAUUCGAUGCAACGCGAAGAACCUUACCUACUCUUGACAUCCAGAGAACUUUCCAGAGAUGGAUUGGUGCCUUCGGGAACUCUGAGACAGGUGCUGCAUGGCUGUCGUCAGCUCGUGUUGUGAAAUGUUGGGUUAAGUCCCGCAACGAGCGCAACCCUUAUCCUUUGUUGCCAGCGGUCCGGCCGGGAACUCAAAGGAGACUGCCAGUGAUAAACUGGAGGAAGGUGGGGAUGACGUCAAGUCAUCAUGGCCCUUACGAGUAGGGCUACACACGUGCUACAAUGGCGCAUACAAAGAGAAGCGACCUCGCGAGAGCAAGCGGACCUCAUAAAGUGCGUCGUAGUCCGGAUUGGAGUCUGCAACUCGACUCCAUGAAGUCGGAAUCGCUAGUAAUCGUGGAUCAGAAUGCCACGGUGAAUACGUUCCCGGGCCUUGUACACACCGCCCGUCACACCAUGGGAGUGGGUUGCAAAAGAAGUAGGUAGCUUAACCUUCGGGAGGGCGCUUACCACUUUGUGAUUCAUGACUGGGGUGAAGUCGUAACAAGGUAACCGUAGGGGAACCUGCGGUUGGAUCACCUCCUUACCUUAAAGAA
This 1540-nucleotide ribosomal RNA is filed under the name Enterobacter hormaechei subsp. xiangfangensis. RNAcentral's name for it is "bacterial SSU rRNA". It matches the Rfam family "Bacterial small subunit ribosomal RNA". The record is from RNAcentral. Lineage: Bacteria; Pseudomonadati; Pseudomonadota; Gammaproteobacteria; Enterobacterales; Enterobacteriaceae.